Long non-coding RNA from Carassius auratus (goldfish), 726 nucleotides. RefSeq lists it as uncharacterized. The transcript has 3 exons. The record is from RefSeq and is a predicted model, not a curated record. NCBI's taxonomy places the organism in Eukaryota, Metazoa, Chordata, Actinopteri, Cypriniformes, Cyprinidae.
CCGGCCACACCCAUCUAACAGAAUCACGUGUUGGCAAGCACACCGGACAGGUUGAAGCGAAUGCAAUAACGUGAAAUGUAGUUCCUGGAGUGUGAAUUUUACCAGAAUCGAUGCUGAAACACAGACGCGUCCAGUGACCUGUGCUUCUCCGUGUGUCCUGCGUUCAGUUUGCAGUCCGUCGAUGCAGACACCAUGAAAUAAUCCAUAGCAUCUGGAGCUCCUCUCUUUCUCCCCUGAUGAGCAGCGAAUCGAUGUUCCCGCCGGCAGGCCCGAGACACAGAGAGGGGCGAGAGACACGCUGCCUCUGUAAUUCAUGGCCCAUUGUAUUUGCCCGAGCAGCUCCCUGAAUGCUUUUGUGCUGGCUGAGCGGGAAUCCUUCCAGAGCAUUAAGUCAAUGUUUGAGCUCUGAACCGAGAUUGAAGGCUCAAUAUUAUGGGAGAGAUUCAUGAUUUGCUGGCCAUGCGUCAGGUGAAAUUACAAGCUUGUUAGAGACCCAUAAUUCUCCACCGGAUCCUGAUCAGAUCAAACACAACCUCCAUCAGAUUCAACUUUACUUGCACUCAUGGGAUACCAAAAGCUGAUGAUUCGAAGAAUGUUCAAGCACAAAAAUGUUUCUGUGUAGCAAUGACCGAUUAGUAAACGGCGUAAUCCAAAUGCUCCAUAGGCAAAUGUUGUGUUGUGGUCAUAAAAAAUACAUUUAAAGGAACAGUUCAUCCCUAAAAAAUA